AUUAUGAUGAAAUAUACACCACAUAAAAAUGACCAGUUAAGCCGAAACUGGUUUGGCUCAGUGGGUAGAGCGUCAGCCUGCGGACUCAAGGGUCCCAGGUUCGAUUCUGGUCAAAAGCAUGUACCUUGGUUGCAGGCACAUCCCCUGUAGGGGGUGUGCAAGA
Pipistrellus kuhlii (Kuhl's pipistrelle) is the source of this 163-nucleotide long non-coding RNA. RefSeq lists it as uncharacterized. NCBI's taxonomy places the organism in Eukaryota, Metazoa, Chordata, Mammalia, Chiroptera, Vespertilionidae. The record is from RefSeq and is a predicted model, not a curated record. The transcript is spliced from 3 exons.